UACAGAGGGUGCAAGCGUUGUUCGGAAUUAUUGGGCGUAAAGCGUGCGCAGGCGGUUCGUUGUGUCCGAUGUGAAAGCCCCGGGCUUAACCUGGGAAUGGCAUUGGAAACUGGCGAGCUUGAGUGCGGCAGAGGGGGGUGGAAUUCCGCGUGUAGCAGUGAAAUGCGUAGAGAUGCGGAGGAACACCGAUGGCGAAGGCAGCCCCCUGGGUCGACACUGACGCUCAGGCACGAAAGCGUGGGGAGCAAACAGG
RNAcentral lists this ribosomal RNA (253 nucleotides) under uncultured prokaryote. RNAcentral's name for it is "partial 16S ribosomal RNA". It matches the Rfam family "Bacterial small subunit ribosomal RNA", at positions 524 to 776 of the family's 1533-position model. The record is from RNAcentral.